AUUGAACGCUGGCGGCAUGCUUUACACAUGCAAGUCGAACGGCAGCGGGGGCUUCGGCCUGCCGGCGAGUGGCGAACGGGUGAGUAAUGCAUCGGAACGUGCCCAGUCAUGGGGGAUAACUACGCGAAAGCGUAGCUAAUACCGCAUACGCCCUGAGGGGGAAAGUGGGGGAUCUUCGGACCUCACGUGAUUGGAGCGGCCGAUGUCAGAUUAGCUAGUUGGUGAGGUAAAGGCUCACCAAGGCGACGAUCUGUAGCGGGUCUGAGAGGAUGAUCCGCCACACUGGGACUGAGACACGGCCCAGACUCCUACGGGAGGCAGCAGUAGGGAAUUUUCGGCAAUGGGGGAAACCCUGACCGAGCAAUGCCGCGUGAACGAUGAAGGUCUUCGGAUUGUAAAGUUCUGUGAUUGGGGAAGAAUGGUAUUCUUAGGGAAUGAGGAGUACAUGACGGUACCCGAUUAGAAAGCCCGGCUAACUAUGUGCCAGCAGCCGA
Molecule: ribosomal RNA, 494 nt
Filed under: uncultured bacterium
Lineage: Bacteria
Description: bacterial SSU rRNA
Rfam family: Bacterial small subunit ribosomal RNA
Source: RNAcentral